Molecule: unclassified non-coding RNA, 301 nt
Filed under: plant metagenome
Description: partial contains 5.8S ribosomal RNA, internal transcribed spacer 2, and large subunit ribosomal RNA
Rfam family: 5.8S ribosomal RNA (bases 1-105)
Source: RNAcentral
GAAAUGCGAUAAGUAGUGUGAAUUGCAGAAUUCAGUGAAUCAUCGAAUCUUUGAACGCACAUUGCGCCCUAUGGUAUUCCGUAGGGCAUGCCCGUUCGAGCGUCAUUUACACCUUCAAGCCUUGCUUGGUGUUGGGUGACUGUGGCCCCUUUGGGGCCACUCGCCUUAAAGUCAUUGGCGGCCGGUUCGUUGGCUUUGUAGCGCAGCACAAUUGCGUCCUCGAAGCCGCUGGACCAGCUCCCAGAAGCUAAUUUUAAAUGUUUGACCUCGAAUCAGGUAGGGAUACCCGCUGAACUUAAGC